RNAcentral lists this ribosomal RNA (2072 nucleotides) under metagenome. Its description in RNAcentral is "bacterial LSU rRNA". It matches the Rfam family "Bacterial large subunit ribosomal RNA", at positions 3 to 2108 of the family's 2925-position model. The record is from RNAcentral.
UUAAGCUAUAAAGAGCGCAGGGUGGAUGCCUUGGCACUAAGAGCCGAUGAAAGACGUGAUAAGCUGCGAAAAGCUUCGGGGAGGAGCAAAUAUCCUUUGAUCCGGAGAUAUCUGAAUGGGGAAACCCGGCUGAGCAAACCUCAGUCACUGCAUGGUGAAUCCAUAGCCAUGCAGAGGGAACCCGGUGAACUGAAACAUCUAAGUAGCCGGAGGAAGAGAAAGAAACAUCGAUUCCCAAAGUAGCGGCGAGCGAAAUGGGAAGAGCCCAAACCAGCGUGCGUGCAUGCUGGGGUUAUGGACUGCAAACGUGAACCGAUUUGUUAGUGGAACUGUCUGGGAAGUCAGGCCAUAGAGGGUGAAAGCCCCGUACACGAAAACAAUAGGAAGCAGCAGGAUCCAGAGUACCACGAGACACGAGAAACCUUGUGGGAAGUCGGAGGGACCACCCUCCAAGGCUAAAUACUCCUUAGUGACCGAUAGCGCAUAGUACUGUGAAGGAAAGGUGAAAAGGACCCCGGGAGGGGAGUGAAAAAGAACCUGAAACCCUGUGUUUACAAGCUGUGGAAGCACGUUAAGGUGCGACCGCGUACUUUUUGUAGAACGGUCCGGCGAGUUGCCGGUACUGGCAAGGUUAAGAGCUGAAGGCUCGGAGCCGAAGGGAAACCAAGUCUCAAAUGGGCGUCAAGUCAGUACAGGCAGACCCGAAACCGGGUGACCUAUCCAUGUCCAGGUUGAAGCGGAAGUAAAAUUCCGUGGAGGACCGGAUCCACAUCCGUUGAAAAGGGUGGGAAUGAGGUGUGGAUAGGGGAGAAAUUCCAAUCGAACCCGGAGAUAGCUGGUUCUCCUCGAAAUAGCUUUAGGGCUAGCCUCAUAUUAGUUUAGCGGAGGUAGAGCACUGAAUUCCUAAGGGGGCGUCAAAGCUUACCAAGGGAUAUCAAACUCCGAAUGCCGCAUAAAUGAUGUAUGGGAGUCAGACUGCACGAGAUAAGUUGGGUAGUCAAAAGGGAAAGAGCCCAGACCUACAGCUAAGGUCCCAAAGUGUGUGUUAAGUGGAAAAGGAUGUGGGAUUUCAAAGACAACUAGGAUGUUGGCUCAGAAGCAGCCACACAUUCAAAGAGUGCGUAAUAGCUCACUAGUCGAGAGGUCCUGCGCCGAAAAUGUCCGGGGCUGAAACACAACACCGAAGCUUAGGAAUGUAUGUAAGUACAUUGGUAGAGGAGCAUUCUCAGGACGGAGAAGCGGUACCGAUAAGGAGCCGUGGAGUGCUGAGAAGAGAGAAUGCCGGAAUGAGUAGCGAGAUGGAGGUGGGAAUCCUCCAGGCCGAAUAUCCAAGGUUUCCAGAGUAAAGCUGAUCUGCUCUGGGUAAGUCGGGGCCUAAGGCGAGGCUGAGAGGCGUAGUCGAUGGACAACAGGUUGAAAUUCCUGUACCAUGUAUCAUCAGAACUGUGGGGACACAGAAGGACAACACAUCCCGGGAAUGGGAAUACCGGGGCAAGCGAGGUAGGAGUACGGUUGGCAAAUCCGCCGUGCAAUCCGAAGACGUGACGCGCAGCGAACUAAAGUAGCGAAGUGUGUGAUUCCGGCUGUCAAGAAAAGCCGCUAUUGUGUGAUACAUGCCCGUACCGUAAACCGACACAGGUAGAUGAGGAGAGAAUCCUAAGGCCGGCGGGAGAAGCAUUGUUAAGGAACUCGGCAAAAUGACCCCGUAACUUCGGGAGAAGGGGUGCCACAGAGAUGUGGCCGCAGAGAAUAGGCUCAAGCAACUGUUUAGCAAAAACACAGGUCUAUGCAAAACCGUAAGGUGAGGUAUAUGGGCUGACGCCUGCCCGGUGCUGGAAGGUUAAGAGGAGAGGUUAGAGCAAUCGAAGCUUUGAAUUUAAGCCCCAGUAAACGGCGGCCGUAACUAUAACGGUCCUAAGGUAGCGAAAUUCCUUGUCGGGUAAGUUCCGACCCGCACGAAAGGCGUAAUGAUUUGAGCGCUGUCUCAACAAUGCACCCGGUGAAAUUGAAAUACCAGUGAAGAUGCUGGUUACCUGCGCCAGGACGGAAAGACCCCAUGGAGCUUUACUCCA